ACCUAAGACCAAACCACUAUGAACACAACUAAUCUCUUCUGAUCUCAAGAAGCUAAGCAGGCAAGGGCCUGUUAAUACUUGCAUAGGAGACAAAGCUGUGAUAAUCCAAGUAUUAUUGUCC
This is a ribosomal RNA of Cricetulus griseus (Chinese hamster), 121 nucleotides long. The record is from Ensembl. NCBI's taxonomy places the organism in Eukaryota, Metazoa, Chordata, Mammalia, Rodentia, Cricetidae.